AACGAACGCUGGCGGCGCGCCUAAUACAUGCAAGUCGAGCGAGAAGGUGUAGCAAUACACUUGUAAAGCGGCGAACGGGUGAGGAAUGCAUGGGUAACCUACCCUCGAGUGGGGAAUAACUAGCCGAAAGGUUAGCUAAUACCGCAUACGUUACCGGAACUUCGGUUUCGGAAAGAAAGCAAUACCGUGGGUAUUGCGCUCCUGGAUGGGCUCAUGUCCUAUCAGCUUGUUGGUGAGGUAACGGCUCACCAAGGCUUCGACGGGUAGCUGGUCUGAGAGGACGAUCAGCCACACUGGCACUGCGACACGGGCCAGACUCCUACGGGAGGCAGCAGUAAGGAAUAUUGCGCAAUGGACGAAAGUCUGACGCAGCGACGCCGCGUGGGGGAUGAAGGUCUUCGGAUUGUAAACCCUUUCGGGAGGGAGAUGGAGUGGGUAACCACUUGGACGGUACCUCCAGAAGCAGCCACGGCUAACUUCGUGCCAGCAGCCGCGGUAA
This 499-nucleotide ribosomal RNA is filed under the name uncultured bacterium. Its description in RNAcentral is "bacterial SSU rRNA". It matches the Rfam family "Bacterial small subunit ribosomal RNA", at positions 29 to 523 of the family's 1533-position model. The record is from RNAcentral.